RNAcentral lists this small RNA (83 nucleotides) under Ulvibacter litoralis. Its description in RNAcentral is "Flavo-1 RNA". It matches the Rfam family "Flavo-1 RNA". Lineage: Bacteria; Pseudomonadati; Bacteroidota; Flavobacteriia; Flavobacteriales; Flavobacteriaceae. The record is from Rfam by way of RNAcentral.
UUUUUGCGUGAAGGAUUGAAGUGGCAUCCUUUUUUUGCUGGCAUAUAGGGCAAAAAAAGAUACAACGGAAAGCCUGACCCUAG